Sus scrofa (pig) is the source of this 329-nucleotide non-coding RNA. NCBI's taxonomy places the organism in Eukaryota, Metazoa, Chordata, Mammalia, Artiodactyla, Suidae. The record is from RefSeq and is a predicted model, not a curated record.
GAAGGAGUGUGUCUUUUCUAUCAUGUCCCUUGAUAGUCUGUCUCUUCCUCUGCCUCCGUGGUCCCUGCACAUUUUGGAGCAGUCAGAUGCACUGAGGCAGCUUUAUCUGAUCUCGGAAUAAGCCAGGAGGAGAUGACACAAUGGAGCAUAUUACAUGACAUCUUUUCUGGGACUUGUUACAACUCUUCAUUCUCUGCAGGAAUCAUUGGUGCACAUCCAGGGUCUGCUGAAUGUCUGGGAAUCACCAAAAGCUCCAGGAAGAGUGACCUCCAGAAAAAAGGUGAUGUGGAUCCCUAUCUUGACUUUGACGUUGAAAGGAAAUAACCCAU